AGUAGUUUGAUCAUGGCUCAGAACGACGCUGGCGGCAUGCCUAACACAUGCAAGUCGAACGAAGGCUUCGGCCUUAGUGGCGCACGGGUGCGUAACGCGUGGGAAUCUGCCCAAAGGUACGGAAUAACUCCUCGAAAGGGGUGCUAAUACCGUAUGAUGUCGCAAGACCAAAGAUUUAUCGCCUUUGGAUGAGCCCGCGUAGGAUUAGGUAGUUGGUGAGGUAAAGGCUCACCAAGCCGACGAUCCUUAGCUGGUCUGAGAGGAUGAUCAGCCACACUGGGACUGAGACACGGCCCAGACUCCUACGGGAGGCAGCAGUGGGGAAUAUUGGACAAUGGGCGAAAGCCUGAUCCAGCAAUGCCGCGUGAGUGAUGAAGGCCUUAGGGUUGUAAAGCUCUUUACCCGGGAAGAUAAUGACUGUACCGGGAGAAUAAGCCCCGGCUAACUCCGUG
This 452-nucleotide ribosomal RNA is filed under the name uncultured bacterium. Its description in RNAcentral is "bacterial SSU rRNA". It matches the Rfam family "Bacterial small subunit ribosomal RNA", at positions 1 to 507 of the family's 1533-position model. The record is from RNAcentral.